Molecule: long non-coding RNA, 530 nt
Organism: Rhea pennata
Lineage: Eukaryota; Metazoa; Chordata; Aves; Rheiformes; Rheidae
Exons: 4
Source: RefSeq, a predicted model, not a curated record
GCGGCUGCGGCUCAGCAGUUUCUCUUGCGUGGCAGGACGGAGAGGCUGCCCUGGCUGUUCCAGCAGAGCCGCUGCCUUUCCUUGCUGCGGCAGCUCUUCAGCCUGGAGAACACUUCCAGCGGCCGGAGGCUCUCGCUCCUCGCAGCGCUCAUGAGGGUCAACGCGGCCGAGGAGUCCGAGGACGCGAGUCACAUCCUCGCGUCCUACCUGGAAUAUGUGCAGUGCUGCCAGGAGCUGGGCCGCCAGGAGGAGCGGCUGGAGAGCGGGCGGGCGGGCGGCCGUCCAGCUUAGCUCCGGCGUCGAGCCCUUUGGAGGAGGAGGGGCGUUAACCGCGGCAGAACUGGCCCAGGCCCUGUCCCGUCUGCACCUCAGCCUGGGAAAUCUGCCCCUCUCUGUCGACGUCGUGCACGGAGCUGGAGAAGCCCGACCUGGACCGGGAGCUUCCAGGCACGCUCUUCACGGCGCUCUUUCUCCAGAUGAGCCUGAAGUCUCGCACGUGAUUUUCAUGAGAAUCCUGCAGAAGGUGUACG